GGCCCCAUGGUCAAGCGGUUAAGACAUCGCCCUUUCACGGCGGUAACACGAGUUCGAAUCUCGUUGGGGUCAUCA
This 75-nucleotide transfer RNA is filed under the name [Clostridium] symbiosum. RNAcentral's name for it is "tRNA-Glu". It matches the Rfam family "tRNA". From Rfam's summary of the family: Transfer RNA (tRNA) molecules are approximately 80 nucleotides in length. Lineage: Bacteria; Bacillati; Bacillota; Clostridia; Lachnospirales; Lachnospiraceae. The record is from RNAcentral. RNAcentral also lists the same sequence under 8 other names.